RNAcentral lists this unclassified non-coding RNA (444 nucleotides) under uncultured fungus. RNAcentral describes it as "partial contains 5.8S ribosomal RNA, internal transcribed spacer 2, and large subunit ribosomal RNA". The record is from RNAcentral. Lineage: Eukaryota; Fungi.
AACGCACAUUGCGCUCCUGGGUAUUCCUGGGAGCAUGCCCGUUUGAGAAUCAGUGAAAACCUCAACACCUUCUGGGUUUCCUAGUGGGACACAGGUGGCUGUUGGACUUGGGUCAUUUGCGAAGAGGUGUGGAUACUGGUUGACGUCGGAACCUUGGGGGGAAGAUGACGUCGACAGCAUGGCCCCGGGGGGGUCAGAGAGGUAUCCCCAUGGGGAAAAGCACCGCACAGCAAUGAUCUUAAAUUCAAUGUCCGCUGCUCCUUCGUAAGUAGGUGCAAUGGCCCGAGUGCUGGAAUGGUCUUUUGGCUUUUUUAACUCUCGAGUCAGCACUUGCAGACGAUGUGAUGCUGGUGUGAACUGUACUGAUUGUAAGGAGAUGCGGUGCCGCAAGGUUCCCUCUCUUAACUUGGUCUCAAAUCGGGUAGGAGAACCCGCUGAACUUAA